Molecule: long non-coding RNA, 1360 nt
Filed under: Mytilus galloprovincialis (Mediterranean mussel)
Lineage: Eukaryota; Metazoa; Mollusca; Bivalvia; Mytilida; Mytilidae
Source: RNAcentral
UAGGGGUAAAAUGCAGUUUUUGGCUUAUCACUCAAAAACCAAAGCAUUUAGAGCAAAUCUGACAUGUCGUAAAAUUGUUUAUCAGGUCAAGAUCUAUCUGCAACAACAAAAGAAAGAGAGUUUUUAACGACCUCAGCUGGCUAUACAACCAUUGCACAAUCAAUAGAAUUUUGCAGAAAUCAUUAAUAGGAUAGAUUGCCCUUAUAUGAUAAUUUUUUAUUACCUUUUUUUUUUUGGCAACGUGGGGGGGGGGGGGGGGGUUACGCAACAACAAAACUACUUCACAACUUUCUCAUUUCUUUGCAUUUCUUGUUAGAUAAAUUUUACAAAAAUUCUCCCCUGAAACAACUGUCGAAUUUAAACAAACUUGUUUUAAAUCACCACUAGGAUAUCCGGGGACCAGCGUGCAUGAUGACCCUGCCUGCCCACAUGGCUGAAAUAAAACAUAGGUUUCAAAUGCACUUUUUAGUAUUAUAUCUCUGAAACUAAACGACAGUACAACAGUUGCAUUUAUCAUGCAACAAUUGUAAAUAAAAAUAUCAGGUGAGCGACACAGGGUCCUUGGACCCUCUAGUUAAAGUUUCUAUCUAUUCGUUAAACAAAAAAAAAACCUCCAUAAUUAGAAAAGGGAUGUCUUUCAUUUUAAAAUUAAGAAUUUCCUUGGUUUAAAUUAGGUUCCUAUUAGAUUGAAGACAUUAGAAAAAAAAGUCAUUAAAAACCAAAUAACUACCACGAUCAUACUACGAUCAUACCACGUUCAUAUCACGAUCUUAUUACGCUCUCAGCAAUAACGUCAAUAUCGUGUUCCAUAUAGAUAAUGUUCCAUUCAUUCUAUUUUUCAUUAAUGCGUAGAUUUCUCAGAAACAAGUCAUGCCACUAAAAUCUAACGGAACACGUACUUACAUUAUAGUGGAAAGAAAUAUUUGCCAUCUGUGUGCCAAAACAUCAAAUUCAUUUUCCUCUACUCGUCUCCCUCUGGAAAUUAUGUAGUUUGUUAUCGCUUGUUCUUGUUCUUUUGACAUUCCAUGUAUGAAAUAGGGCUUUAUCAAAUAUGUCCUCAACCCAAAUGCUUCGGAACCUAAUAGAAAGUGUGGCAUUUUCUGAUCAUCACUAGACAAUAGAUCCGGUUCUGGAAAUCCAAUUGUCCCAUCUUCUAAAUAUUCCUUCAGCUCAGAUGCAUUGUAUAUUUAGAACUGUACCCGCCAACAUCAAUAAAAACAACCUCGUAGUCAGCAUCAACCAAGGCCAGCAGUACCAGUGAGAAAAAAACACCUUGUAAUUGUGGUAAAGGGAUCCAGUUUUAUGUGGCCAUCUUAUAGCAACAUUAAUCAUAUACUUAGCAUGGAUAUGAUAGCUUUUG